This 429-nucleotide ribosomal RNA is filed under the name Acidobacteriota bacterium. RNAcentral's name for it is "Acidobacteria bacterium partial 16S ribosomal RNA". It matches the Rfam family "Bacterial small subunit ribosomal RNA", at positions 355 to 776 of the family's 1533-position model. The record is from RNAcentral. Lineage: Bacteria; Pseudomonadati; Acidobacteriota.
UGGGGAAUUUUGGACAAUGGGGGAAACCCUGAUCCAGCCAUCCCGCGUGUGCGAUGAAGGCCUUCGGGUUGUAAAGCACUUUUGGCAGGAAAGAAACUUCAUGGGUUAAUACCCCGUGAAACUGACGGUACCUGCAGAAUAAGCACCGGCUAACUACGUGCCAGCAGCCGCGGUAAUACGUAGGGUGCAAGCGUUAAUCGGAAUUACUGGGCGUAAAGCGUGCGCAGGCGGUUCGGAAAGAAAGAUGUGAAAUCCCAGAGCUCAACUUUGGAACUGCAUUUUUAACUACCGGGCUAGAGUGUGUCAGAGGGAGGUGGAAUUCCGCGUGUAGCAGUGAAAUGCGUAGAUAUGCGGAGGAACACCGAUGGCGAAGGCAGCCUCCUGGGAUAACACUGACGCUCAUGCACGAAAGCGUGGGGAGCGAACAGG